AACGAACGCUGGCGGCAUGCCUAACACAUGCAAGUCGAACGAGACCUUCGGGUCUAGUGGCGCACGGGUGCGUAACGCGUGGGGACCUGCCUUUAGGUUCGGAAUAACUCCCCGAAAGGGGUGCUAAUACCGGAUAAUGUCUUCGGUCCAAAGUGUUAUCGACUUUGGAUGGGCCUGCGUUGGAUUAGCUAGUUGGUAGGGUAAAAGCCUACCAAGGCGACGAUCCAUAGCUGGUAUGAGAGGAUGAUCAGCCACACUGGGACUGAGAAACGGCCCAGACUACUACGCGAGGCAGCAGUGGGGAAUAUUGGAAAAUGGGCGAAAGCAUGAUCCAGCAAUGCCGCGUGAGUGAUGAAAGCCUUAGGGUUGUAAAGCUAUUUUACACGGGAUGAUAAUGACAGUACCGACAGAAUAAGCUCCGGCUAACUCCGUG
Molecule: ribosomal RNA, 433 nt
Filed under: uncultured bacterium
Lineage: Bacteria
Description: partial 16S ribosomal RNA
Rfam family: Bacterial small subunit ribosomal RNA
Source: RNAcentral